Fragaria vesca subsp. vesca is the source of this 974-nucleotide RNA transcript. RefSeq lists it as uncharacterized. The record is from RefSeq and is a predicted model, not a curated record. The transcript has 3 exons. NCBI's taxonomy places the organism in Eukaryota, Viridiplantae, Streptophyta, Magnoliopsida, Rosales, Rosaceae.
GACAACCGACACCUAAAGCAUGACUGAUUCUCGACGCUUGUCGAUCGACGACAACUUCUGAUGGUCGACGAUGAAGAUUUCCGACGAAAUCAAACAGUAGCAGAAUCCACACCGAUUCUCUCUCACGAUUUAGGUACUUGUUCAAUCUUCUAUGGCUUCUGCUUUCUUUUUAGUCUGAGAUUUAGUUUUAGCUUCACGAUUUUAUAGUAGCAAUCAGAAAUGAAUAAGCGAUUUUUCUGAAUUUGAACUCGGUUUCAUGGAAUUCCAGUAGCACUAAGUGAAAAUGGGUAGAACUCCUUAGGUUCCGCCCAAAAUAUCUAGAUUGGAUUUAUGUUUAUGCAUUUCGUUUAAAUUUGGGGUUAUUUGAAUUUGAAAUCACGAUUUCGUUUUCGAUUUCAUGAUCGAGCAGUAGCACUGAGCUUAAAACAACCUGAAAUUCAUAUUUUACAGUGCUUUUGGAGCAGUAGCAGUUUCAUUUCAAGAUUUUAACCUAAAUAUUAAUGGAGGAACCGGGGGUUUGGAAGGAUACUAAGGAGCAAAAAAGAAACAGAUUGAGUUGGCCAAAGAUAUUGAGAUAGGAUUGAGAAAGAAGCAUCAUCAAGCCGUGCUACUGCAGUGGAGCAAGACGUAGGAAAAAAACAAACAGAGCAAAGAAGCAAAAGCAUGUGGCUGAAAAGGAAAAGCAUGUGGCAGAGAAAGAAGGGAUUGUAAAAAUGACAUUAAGAGAUAGGGUUGAUAAUGUAGUUGGUGACGAUGACUUUAAGAACCUUCCACUGAAGAAUGGUGCUACUGCAUAGGAUGAGGUGGUAAAGCAAAAAGAAAAGAGGAAGAACUUGAACAAUGGUGCUAAUGCAGAAGCUGAGAAGGGUGUGCUAAAGAGGGAGCUACUGUGGUGACUAAGAAGAAAGAAAGAAAAGAAGAGGUGGUAAAGAAGAAAAAAGGAAGAACUUGAAGUAUGGUGCUAAUGUAGAAGC